RNAcentral lists this ribosomal RNA (519 nucleotides) under uncultured bacterium. Its description in RNAcentral is "partial 16S ribosomal RNA". It matches the Rfam family "Bacterial small subunit ribosomal RNA", at positions 355 to 890 of the family's 1533-position model. The record is from RNAcentral.
UGGGGAAUAUUGGACAAUGGGGGCAACCCUGAUCCAGCAAUGCCGCGUGUGUGAAGAAGGUCUUCGGAUUGUAAGGCACUUUCGACGGGGACGAUGAUGACGGUACCCGUAGAAGAAGCCCCGGCUAACUUCGUGCCAGCAGCCGCGGUAAUACGAAGGGGGCUAGCGUUGCUCGGAAUGACUGGGCGUAAAGGGCGUGUAGGCGGUUUACACAGUCAGAUGUGAAAUCCCCGGGCUUAACCUGGGAGCUGCAUUUGAUACGUGUAGACUAGAGUGUGAGAGAGGGUUGUGGAAUUCCCAGUGUAGAGGUGAAAUUCGUAGAUAUUGGGAAGAACACCGGUGGCGAAGGCGGCAACCUGGCUCAUGACUGACGCUGAGGCGCGAAAGCGUGGGGAGCAAACAGGAUUAGAUACCCUGGUAGUCCACGCCUGUAAACGAUGUGUGCUAGAUGUUGGGUAACUUUGUUAUUCAGUGUCGCAGUUAACGCGUUAAGCACACCGCCUGGGGAGUACGGCCGCA